UAUCCUACGGGGCGCAGCAGUGGGGGAUAUUGCACAAUGGGGGAAACCCUGAUGCAGCAACGCCGCGUGAGUGACGAAGGUCUUCGGAUUGUAAAACUCUGUUCUUGGUGAAGAUAAUGACGGUAGCCAAGGAGAAAGCUCCGGCUAACUACGUGCCAGCAGCCGCGGUAAUACGUAGGGGGCAAGCGUUGUCCGGAAUUACUGGGCGUAAAGGGCGCGUAGGUGGGCGCUUAAGUCAGGUGUGAAAACUCCGGGCUCAACCUGGAGACUGCACUUGAAACUGGGUGUCUUGAGGGCAGGAGAGG
This 305-nucleotide ribosomal RNA is filed under the name uncultured bacterium. RNAcentral describes it as "bacterial SSU rRNA". It matches the Rfam family "Bacterial small subunit ribosomal RNA", at positions 335 to 657 of the family's 1533-position model. The record is from RNAcentral.